GGUAUAGCUCAGUUGGUAGAGUCAGUGCUUUUCUUGCAAGCCCAAGACCUGGGUUCAAUCCCCAGCACCA
RNAcentral lists this transfer RNA (70 nucleotides) under Marmota monax (woodchuck). Its description in RNAcentral is "tRNA.Undet". The record is from RNAcentral. Lineage: Eukaryota; Metazoa; Chordata; Mammalia; Rodentia; Sciuridae.